Molecule: ribosomal RNA, 691 nt
Filed under: uncultured bacterium
Lineage: Bacteria
Description: bacterial SSU rRNA
Rfam family: Bacterial small subunit ribosomal RNA
Source: RNAcentral
AGAGUUUGAUCCUGGCUCAGAUUGAACGCUGGCGGAAUGCUUUACACAUGCAAGUCGAACGGCAGCACAGGAGCUUGCUCCUGGUGGCGAGUGGCGAACGGGUGAGUAAUGCGUCGGAACGUAUCCAUUAAUGGGGGAUAACGCAGCGAAAGCUGUGCUAAUACCGCAUACGCCCCGAGGGGGAAAGCAGGGGAUCUUCGGACCUUGCGUUAUUGGAGCGGCCGACGUCUGAUUAGCUAGUUGGUGAGGUAAAGGCUCACCAAGGCGACGAUCAGUAGCUGGUCUGAGAGGAUGAUCAGCCACACUGGAACUGAGACACGGUCCAGACUCCUACGGGAGGCAGCAGUGGGGAAUUUUGGACAAUGGGCGCAAGCCUGAUCCAGCCAUUCCGCGUGAGUGAAGAAGGCCUUCGGGUUGUAAAGCUCUUUCGGCAGGGAAGAAACAGUUGAGGCUAAUAUCCUUGACCAAUGACGGUACCUGCAUAAGAAGCACCGGCUAACUACGUGCCAGCAGCCGCGGUAAUACGUAGGGUGCGAGCGUUAAUCGGAAUUACUGGGCGUAAAGCGUGCGCAGGCGGUUUUUCAAGUCUGAUGUGAAAGCCCCGGGCUUAACCUGGGAACUGCGUUGGAAACUGAAAGACUAGAGUGCGGCAGAGGGGGGUAGAAUUCCACGUGUAGCAGUGAAAUGCGUA